ACGAAGGGUGCAAGCGUUACUCGGAAUCACUGGGCGUAAAGCGUGCGUAGGCGGUUCGUUAAGUCUGCUGUGAAAGCCCUGGGCUCAACCUGGGAACUGCAGUGGAUACUGGCGGGCUAGAGUGUGGGAGAGGAAGGUGGAAUUCCCGGUGUAGCGGUGAAAUGCGUAGAGAUCGGGAGGAACACCAGUGGCGAAGGCGGCCAUCUGGAUCAACACUGACGCUGAGGCGCGAGAGCGUGGGGAGCAAACAG
Molecule: ribosomal RNA, 251 nt
Filed under: uncultured prokaryote
Description: partial 16S rRNA
Rfam family: Bacterial small subunit ribosomal RNA
Source: RNAcentral